Molecule: long non-coding RNA, 1342 nt
Organism: Diorhabda sublineata
Lineage: Eukaryota; Metazoa; Arthropoda; Insecta; Coleoptera; Chrysomelidae
Exons: 3
Source: RefSeq, a predicted model, not a curated record
GUAUAUAGUCUUUGUUGGCUAUUUAGAAUAGUUGUAGGGUUAGUGUAUUUGUUUCUUUUGAUUAUAUUAUGGAUUUUGUGGAUUAGAUAGUGAUGAGGACUUUGAUAUUGUGAAAAUCCUUCAACAUGAACGAAGGCCCUACGUAGUGAGGGAAAGAGUCGAUAAUUUUGAGAAAUGGGAUGAGCAUAACUUUCAUGCAAGAUUCAGAAUGAAGAAAGAUACUGUAUUGUUUAUAUUAGAGCAAAUUGAGGAAUCACUUGUAUCCCAAACUGAUAGAAAUAAUAGUAUUAGACCCAUACAUCAAUUCUUACUAACACUUAGAUUUUAUGCAACUGGCAAAUUUUUUAUAUCCUCUGGAGACUUCUGCAAUGUAAGCAAAAGUUCUGCAUCAAAAAUCAUAAAAAAAGUGUAUCAUGCUAUUGCAUCUUUGUCACAAAGAUAUAUAUGAAUGCCACAAGGAAAAGAAAUUACUAUAGCGCAGAGAAAUUUCUAUAUGAAGGCAAGACUUCCAAGGGUUAUUGGAAGUAUUGAUUGUGCACAUGUUGGCAUCUUAUCACCAGGAUGUGAAGUUAGUGCAUCAACAAGUGCUGUCCUGUAGAAGUUCCAAUAGGGCUAAUGGAUGUAAAAACUUGGGUUAGGCUGUGUAUUGAAAUAUAUGCAAGAUUUAAAUGACAAAGCUGACUCUCCAAUAGACGUCGUCUUUUACAGCGAUAAUUGUUGUGGACAACAAAAAAACAACUUUAUGAUGGCAAUGUACAAAUAUGCUGUUUCAACAUUAAAAAGCAUAGAAUCUAUCCAACACAAAUUUUUAAUAAAGGGUCGCACCCAAAACGAAGGGGAUUCGGCUCACUCAACCAUUGAAAAAGAAGUUAAAAGAGCACUCAGAAGCGGACUGAUAUACUUACCUUCCCAAUACGCCAUGGCCAUGAAAAUGGCAAAGAAAAGUGGCAAGCCUUACUUGAUUCAUGAGUUGAGUCAUAAGGACUUUUUUGACAUAAAAGCUCUGGAGAAAUCUCAAGUAAUUUUACCCAUGUCAGACAUUCGAAUGUUUAAAGUAAUUAAAGACGACAGCGACUUUUACUUCAAAACAUCCUACUGAUCAAAUGCCUGAGAGGAGGCGAAGAAAAGGUAUAAACGGGGUAAUGGGAACGUGAAUUCUGUCUUGAUGCAAGCUUAUUCCAAGAAACUUACCAUUGAUGAGAAGAAGAAACAGGGUAUCCUAAAGUUAGUUACCGUUGGGAUAAUACCAUCAAUUUAUUCAGAUUUCUAUAAAAAUUUGUGAAACUUUGAAGUUGUUCUUCAAAAAAAGUUGUAAACAAUAAAUUAUUUUUUCAUUAACAAA